GACCAAGCUACUAAGAGCAGGUGGUGGAUGCCUUGGCGUCGGGAUGCGAUGAAGGACGUGGUAAGCUGCGAUAAGCUCCGGUUAGGUGCAAACAACCAGCGACCCGGAGAUUUCCGAAUGGGGAAACCCGGCGGAGGUCAUGCUCCGUCACUCCCGGCUGAAUCCAUAGGCCGGGUAGAGCGAACCGAGGGAACUGAAACAUCUCAGUACCUCGAGGAAGAGAAAGCAAACGCGAUUCCCCAAGUAGCGGCGAGCGAACGGGGAACAGCCCAAACUGUCGACGUGUCAAGCCCGCGCGCGUUGCGUCGACGGGGUCGUGGGGCCGAUCUUCACUGGAGUGCGGUCCAAGUGGGGGCUCGAAGAGGAUUCUAGCGGAACAGCUCUGGAAAGGCUGGCCAAAGAAGGUGACAGCCCUGUAGGCGAAAGGAUCCUCUUUCCCUUCUGAUCGGUUCCCAAGUAACGCGGGACACGUGGAACCCUGCGUGAAUUCAGGAGGACCACCUCCUAAGGCUAAAUAGGACCUGACGACCGAUAGCGGACGAGUACCGUGAGGGAAAGGUGAAAAGAACCCCUGGCGGGGAGUGAAAUAGAACCUGAAACCACUUGCUUACAAGCGGUCGGAGGCCGACCCGGAGCUUCGGCUCCGGUUAGGCUGACGGCGUGCCUUUUGCAUAAUGAGCCGGCGAGUCACUGGAUGCGGCAAGGUUAAGCGUCUUAGACGCGGAGCCGCAGCGAAAGCGAGUCUGAACAGGGCGUAUAAGUUGCAUCCAGUGGACCCGAAGCCGGGUGAUCUAUCCAUGGCCAGGGUGAAGCGCGUGUAAAAGCGCGUGGAGGCCCGAACACACUAGAGUUGAAAAUCUAGGUGAUGAGCUGUGGAUAGGGGUGAAAGGCUAAUCAAACCCGGAGAUAGCUGGUUCUCCCCGAAAUGCUUUUAGGAGCAGCCUCGGGACAAUUGUGUGACGGAGGUAGAGCACUGAUUGGGCUAGGGGCCCUACCAGGUUACCAAACCCAUUCAAACUCCGAAUGCCGUUCACAUCUACCCCGGGAGUGAGGCUGCGGGCGAUAAGGUCCGUAACCGAGAGGGAAAGAACCCCAGAUCACCAGCUAAGGCCCCUAAAUCCAAGCUAAGUGUUGCUAAGGAAGUGGCGUCGUCAAAACAGCCAGGAUGUUGGCUUAGAAGCAGCCAUCAUUUAAAGAGUGCGUAAUUGCUCACUGGUCUAAUGACUCUGCGCCGAUAAUUCUCGGGACUCAAGCUUGGUGCCGAAGCUGUGAAUUCCCAGGUUCGCCUGGGACUGGUAGGGGAGCGUUCCGUUGUAGGUUGAAGCGGUGUCGAUAAGGCGCCGUCGACGAACCGGAAGUGAGAAUGCCGGCAUGAGUAGCGAUAAAACGGGUGAGAAACCCGUUCACCGAAAGCCUAAGGGUUCCUGAGGAAGGUUAAUCCUCUCAGGGUUAGUCGGAUCCUAAGCCGAGGCCGAAAGGCGUAGGCGAUGGAAAACAGGUUAAUAUUCCUGUACCACUGACAGGACGUUUGAGCUAUGGGGUGACGCAGGAGCGUAGGGCCCGCGUACUAUUGGAUGUGCGUCUAAGCUUGUAGGAGGAGGCUCCAGGCAAAUCCGGAGUCUCACUACUCCGAGGAGCGAUGGUGAGUCCCUUUUGGGGCGAAGUGACCCGAAGCCGACUGCCGAGAAAAACCUCUAUGCGAGUUCUGUGGGUGUCCGUACCGUAGACCGACACAGGUAGGCAGGGUGAGAAACCUAAGGUGCUCGAGUGAGUUCUCGGGAAGGAACUCGGCAAAAUGACCCCGUAACUUCGGGACAAGGGGUGCCUCCAAAGGAUAGCUCCUCGCGGGCGAAAGUAUGGAGGCCGCAGAGAAUCGGCCCAAGCGACUGUUUACCAAAAACACAGGACUCUGCUAAGCCGAUGAGGCGACGUAUAGGGUCUGACACCUGCCCGGUGCCGGAAGGUUAAGGGGAGGGGUUAGCCGCAAGGCGAAGCUCUGAACCGAAGCCCCGGUAAACGGCGGCCGUAACUAUAGACCACCUGUAGUUACGCUGAAAAACCUGGCUAUUUGCUGGAAAACCCGUGAAUCCUGAGGUACUCGCCCCGUGGGGCAGUGACAAUCCUCCAGGUGCGGGCAAUCAGCAGGAAAGACUCCUUCGGACCUCGUCAUUCACGCAUCGAUCGAGGAGAUCUGCUAAUGAGACUCGAUCUCCGCAACGUGCCGCCUGCCCUCGGUUACUACCUCGCUGGUUUCACCGAUGGGGAGGGAAGCUUCAAUGUCUGCUUUCGCAGGCGUAGGAGCUCACGAACGGCAUGGAAAGUCUCACUCUGUUUCAAUGUUUCUCAGAAGGACGAGGCGAUCUUGCGCCUCUUUCAGAGAACCUUGGAUUGUGGGACGGUACGUGGAAGGCGCGAUGGCGUAUGGUACUUCGAAGUCAACGGCUUCGAUUCCAUAUGUCGGAAUGUCAUCCCGUUCUUCACGCGAUUCCCAUUUCUGUCUGCAAAGAAACAGCGCGACUUUGCUUCUUUUGUCAGACUCGCAAGUCUGAUAGGGGAAGGGCGUCAUCUCCAAGCAGACGGUUUGAGGGAGAUCGUGAAGAUCCGAUCGGGCAUGAAUGAUGGAGGCGCCGGCCGACGCAAGUACUCCGAUGAGGAGAUACUUCUCGAGCCGGCAGGAGGAGAAUCCCCAGAGGCCAUAUGCCAGGCGCGACAGGAGCUAGGAAUGCCGCCGCUCCUGAAACGCGAUGAGAUGGUCCGAUCUCCGUAGCGAUACGGAGGGCCUUUUCGAAGGCCGCGAGAGCGGAUGAGAAUCUGUUCUUGGGCAACACAAAUGAACGGUCCUAAGGUUAACGAACGCUAGCCUUAGUAAAACCAAACCAUAUGCGGGAAACUCCUCGCACAGCCGUCUGGUACUCGCCGGCUUCGGCCGGCAGUCACAAGCCAGCGGACAUGGGGACAAUCCGCAGGGAAGGCCCGGAGCGAUCCGGGAACCCUCAGAGACUUGAUGUUUGGGGUCGACGAUGAAACUAUCGACGGAAUGGAUCGUGGGCUUCGUGGAUGGCGAAGGGUGUUUUCAUGUCGGAAUCAAUCCGCGGACCGAUAUGGCGAGCGGAUCCCAGGUUCUGCCGGAAUUCACCGUCGUCCAGCACGAGCGAGAUGUACAAGUCCUGCAUGCGCUCAAGGCGCAUUUCGGAUGCGGCGUGGUGCGCAAGAACCACGGCGACCGGAUGGCCUACCGCGUGCGCGGGCAUGAACACCUGCUUGCGCGAAUCCUGCCGUUCUUCGAAAAGCAUCCUUUGAAAACCAGCAAACGAAUCGACUUUGAACGCUUCCGGAAAGUCGUCCGCCUGAUGGCGGACGGCGUGCAUCUGGAGCGCGAGGGAGUCGAGAGGAUUCGCGAGUUGGCGGAAGGGAUGAAUCGUGGUCGAUCAAGGUAAAGUCCGGCCUUCCUGGAAACAGGAGGGAGCAACCGAGCGAAAUUCCUUGUCGGGUAAGUUCCGACCUGCACGAAUGGUGUAACGAUUUGGGCGCUGUCUCCCCGAGAAGCUCGGCGAAAUUGAAGCGGCGGUGAAGAUACCGUCUACCCGCGACUGGACAGGAAGACCCCGUGGACCUUUACUGCACCCUGAUAUUGGGUUCUGGCGUUUCAUGUGUAGGAUAGGUGGGAGGCUUUGAAGCGUGGGCGCCAGCCUGCGUGGAGCCAGCCUUGAAAUACCACCCUUGGGUCGUCGGGAUUCUAACCUGGCGCCGUGAAUCCGGCGCGGGGACAUUGUCAGGCGGGCAGUUUGACUGGGGCGGUCGCCUCCAAAAGAGUAACGGAGGCGCACAAAGGUUCCCUCAGCGCGGUUGGUAAUCGCGCGUGGAGUGUAAAGGCAUAAGGGAGCUUGACUGCGAGACCGACGGGUCGAGCAGGUGCGAAAGCAGGUCUUAGUGAUCUGGCGGUUCUGAGUGGAAGGGCCGUCACUUAACGGAUAAAAGGUACCCCGGGGAUAACAGGCUGAUCCCUCUCGAGAGUUCACAUCGACGGGGGGGUUUGGCACCUCGAUGUCGGCUCAUCGCAUCCUGGGGCUGGAGAAGGUCCCAAGGGUUUGGCUGUUCGCCAAUUAAAGCGGUACGUGAGCUGGGUUCAGAACGUCGUGAGACAGUUCGGUCCCUAUCCAUCGUGGGCGGAGGAGACUUGAGGGGGGCUGUCCCUCGUACGAGAGGACUGGGAUGGACCAACCUCUAGUGUACCGGUUGUCGCGCCAGCGGCAUCGCCGGGUAGCUAUGUUGGGACUGGAUAAGCGCUGAAAGCAUCUAAGCGCGAAGCCAACCCCGAGAUGAGGUCUCCCGGGUCGCAAGACCCCUAAAGGCCCCUCCUAGACUAGGAGGUUGAUAGGCCGCAGGUGUAAGCACAGUAAUGUGUUCAGCCGAGCGGUACUAAUAGGCCGUGCGGCUUGGUCGG
This 4444-nucleotide ribosomal RNA is filed under the name Candidatus Eiseniibacteriota bacterium. RNAcentral's name for it is "23S ribosomal RNA". It matches the Rfam family "Bacterial large subunit ribosomal RNA". Lineage: Bacteria; Candidatus Eiseniibacteriota. The record is from RNAcentral.